GCAUCGAUGAAGAACGCAGCCAAAUGCGAUACCCGGUGUGAAUGCAGAAUCCUGAGCGUCACACCAAAAGACACUCCCUUCCCAUCAUUGUGCAUGAAUGUGGUAUUUGGCUCCCCAUGCCUUGUGGUACGGUGGGCUGAAGUUGGGGCUGCUGGCAUAUCGUGUCGAGCACCUACAUGUGGUGGGCGACAUAAGUUGUUCUCGGUGCAGUGUCUCGGCACGCAGCCAGCUUCUUGGCCUAGAGGACCCAUUUAAGACUGUAGCGCCUCGGUGCUCGGACUGCGACCCCAGGUCAGACGGGAUCACCCGCUGAGUUUAAGCAUAUCAAUAAGCGGAGGA
This 339-nucleotide ribosomal RNA is filed under the name uncultured fungus. RNAcentral describes it as "eukaryotic LSU rRNA". Lineage: Eukaryota; Fungi. The record is from RNAcentral.